GGAAUCUUCCACAAUGGACGCAAGUCUGAUGGAGCAACACCGCGUGAGUGAAGAAGGUCUUCGGAUCGUAAAGCUCUGUUGUUAGAGAAGAACACGAGUGAGAGUAACUGUUCAUUCGAUGACGGUAUCUAACCAGCAAGUCACGGCUAACUACGUGCCAG
Molecule: ribosomal RNA, 161 nt
Filed under: uncultured bacterium
Lineage: Bacteria
Description: partial 16S rRNA
Rfam family: Bacterial small subunit ribosomal RNA
Source: RNAcentral